This 702-nucleotide ribosomal RNA is filed under the name Streptomyces sp. L1758. RNAcentral describes it as "bacterial SSU rRNA". It matches the Rfam family "Bacterial small subunit ribosomal RNA", at positions 24 to 744 of the family's 1533-position model. Lineage: Bacteria; Bacillati; Actinomycetota; Actinomycetes; Kitasatosporales; Streptomycetaceae. The record is from RNAcentral.
UCAGGACGAACGCUGGCGGCGUGCUUAACACAUGCAAGUCGAACGAUGAAGCCCUUCGGGGUGGAUUAGUGGCGAACGGGUGAGUAACACGUGGGCAAUCUGCCCUUCACUCUGGGACAAGCCCUGGAAACGGGGUCUAAUACCGGAUAACACUCUGUCCCGCAUGGGACGGGGUUAAAAGCUCCGGCGGUGAAGGAUGAGCCCGCGGCCUAUCAGCUUGUUGGUGGGGUAAUGGCCUACCAAGGCGACGACGGGUAGCCGGCCUGAGAGGGCGACCGGCCACACUGGGACUGAGACACGGCCCAGACUCCUACGGGAGGCAGCAGUGGGGAAUAUUGCACAAUGGGCGAAAGCCUGAUGCAGCGACGCCGCGUGAGGGAUGACGGCCUUCGGGUUGUAAACCUCUUUCAGCAGGGAAGAAGCGAAAGUGACGGUACCUGCAGAAGAAGCGCCGGCUAACUACGUGCCAGCAGCCGCGGUAAUACGUAGGGCGCAAGCGUUGUCCGGAAUUAUUGGGCGUAAAGAGCUCGUAGGCGGCUUGUCACGUCGGAUGUGAAAGCCCGGGGCUUAACCCCGGGUCUGCAUUCGAUACGGGCUAGCUAGAGUGUGGUAGGGGAGAUCGGAAUUCCUGGUGUAGCGGUGAAAUGCGCAGAUAUCAGGAGGAACACCGGUGGCGAAGGCGGAUCUCUGGGCCAUACUGAC